This 71-nucleotide transfer RNA is filed under the name Acidimicrobiales bacterium. Its description in RNAcentral is "tRNA-Gly". It matches the Rfam family "tRNA". Rfam says of the family: Transfer RNA (tRNA) molecules are approximately 80 nucleotides in length. Their secondary structure includes four short double-helical elements and three loops (D, anti-codon, and T loops). Further hydrogen bonds mediate the characteristic L-shaped molecular structure. tRNAs have two regions of fundamental functional importance: the anti-codon, which is responsible for specific mRNA codon recognition, and the 3' end, to which the tRNAs corresponding amino acid is attached (by aminoacyl-tRNA synthetases). tRNAs cope with the degeneracy of the genetic code in two manners: having more than one tRNA (with a specific anti-codon) for a particular amino acid; and 'wobble' base-pairing, i.e. permitting non-standard base-pairing at the 3rd anti-codon position. Lineage: Bacteria; Bacillati; Actinomycetota; Acidimicrobiia; Acidimicrobiales. The record is from RNAcentral.
GCGGGUGUAGUUCAAUGGUAGAACUUCAGCUUCCCAAGCUGAUAAUGGGAGUUCGAUUCUCCUCACCCGCU